This 644-nucleotide long non-coding RNA is filed under the name Trifolium pratense (red clover). RNAcentral's name for it is "long non-coding RNA (TPRA_LNC002604)". Lineage: Eukaryota; Viridiplantae; Streptophyta; Magnoliopsida; Fabales; Fabaceae. The record is from RNAcentral.
AUCUAUCCUCUUCACUUUCAAACACUCUAUAUAAACCCCUUUCAAUCCAUCAAAUACACACACUAGCUUAAUCUUUCAUCCACCACCCUCACUCUCACCCACACACACCACACACAUCAAUUUUCUCUCUCUUUCACAACCUACAUCACAUUAAAUCUUCAUCUUCUUCUCAAAACCACCACCAUCACCAUCACCCCCACUACCUCUCUCUCAUCAAUUUUUUUUCUCUUUCACAACUAACAUCACCUUAAAUCUUCAUAUUCUUCCCCAAAACACCACCACCACCACCACCACUACUUAUCUCUUUUUUUCCUCUAUCUCUCACAAAUAACAUUGAAAAAAACAUUGCAAAUUUUUACACAAAAAAUUUACAAAAAAAAAAAAAAGGAGGAUUCAAUCACUUUGUUUAAGGACUUGCUCAAGCAAUCCAUCUAUUUAAGGUGCAUCAAGUUAGAGCAAAAAUCAUGCAAGUAUGCAACUAUAAAGAAAAGUAGAGGAUUCAAGCACUUUGUUAAAGAGAUUGAUUUUGAAGAAAAUGAGAUUAAAAUACUUAUGAAUGUUGUUUAUUUUGUUUAAACUUGAGAGCACUAUCAAGAAAUGAUGAACAUGUAACAAUAUAUGUUUUUUCUAAGCAUGAUUUAGUG